This 25-nucleotide non-coding RNA is filed under the name Mus musculus (house mouse). Lineage: Eukaryota; Metazoa; Chordata; Mammalia; Rodentia; Muridae. The record is from RNAcentral.
UGGGAAGUGUUUUCUGAGAGCACAG